CCUACGGGUGGCAGCAGUGGGGAAUAUUGCACAAUGGGGGAAACCCUGAUGCAGCGACGCCGCGUGAAGGAAGAAGUAUUUCGGUAUGUAAACUUCUAUCAGCAGGGAAGAAAAUGACGGUACCUGACUAAGAAGCCCCGGCUAACUACGUGCCAGCAGCCGCGGUAAUACGUAGGGGGCAAGCGUUAUCCGGAUUUACUGGGUGUAAAGGGAGCGUAGGCGGUUUAGCAAGUCAGAAGUGAAAGCCCGGGGCUCAACUCCGGGACUGCUUUUGAAACUGUUGAACUAGAUUGCAGGAGAGGUAAGUGGAAUUCCUAGUGUAGCGGUGAAAUGCGUAGAUAUCUGGAGGAACAUCAGUGGCGAAGGCGACUAUCUGGCACAUAACUGACGCUGAGGAGCGAAAGCGUGGGUAGCAAACAGGAUUAGAUACCCUUGUAGUC
RNAcentral lists this ribosomal RNA (440 nucleotides) under uncultured bacterium. RNAcentral describes it as "partial 16S ribosomal RNA". It matches the Rfam family "Bacterial small subunit ribosomal RNA", at positions 338 to 795 of the family's 1533-position model. The record is from RNAcentral.